GAUAAUUCCACUGGCCAUACAUACAUGAUUCAAGAGUCAUAAACUGGAGGACCUGGGCUCAAGUCCUGGCUCUGUCUCUAACUCACCACCCUUAUUCUCAAGGACUUCAUCAUCUCUGUACAAGAAAGGGGUUUAUACUUGCGUUCCGAGUACUUUCUCUGUGCGUGGAACUGUGCUAAACACAAGGAAGCAUGAGAAAAGAUCCAUCAAGAAGUUCACAAAUUGGCUACAGAAACAGAGGAGGAAAUACAGCCUGAAAGGAGAAACAACUUUCCAAAAGCCACAGAGAGUUGGUAGCUUAAUUGAGGUCAGAACCAAAGAGAAUCUGAUGUCCAGAACUCCUGUGAUACCACACCCAUUCAUGAACCUUGAGUCUGACAUGGCCAGGGAGAUAUAGCCUCAGGGGGAAAGAGCACAUAACUGGAAGCAGACACAGUCCCUCGACCUUUACUGCACACGUAUUUAUCUCAGAGAGCGUCACUGAGUGCAUUGUUCCAGAGCAAGACGAGCCCAUCUGCGUGGGAGAAACUCUAGUCUGCCCCCAAAGAUCAUCUCUGACUGAGAAAAAGAUUCAAUCACUCCCUCUAACCCAAACUCUCCAAAACUCUAUUUCCUAUUAUGUCUCAACUACCAAAUUUAACCCACCCGCAUCUCAAGAUUAGAUCUGUGAGCUCACAAAAGCUCAAUCACUCAAUUUAGAGUAGGGAAAAUCUUACCCUCUCCAAACAAAGUAAAAUGUGACAUAACCCAGUUGCUAGGAUUAUGUCUCACUCAGGAAGAAGGAGAGGAACAGGGAGAAAAAUGGGUGGGUCAUUCAUUACAGGGAAUUUUCCAGGAUAAUUUGAGUAGUGUGGCCCUCCAAAAUCAAUGUUCCAGUCCUUAAAACAGUGCUCAAGUCAAGAUCCAGGCUUUAGGAGAGCCAUGAGAGUGAAGAAGUCUCUUCUGCCCUUGCCCUGAAUCCCUGAGUAAUCUCUAGGUACAUUCUGAUUCCUCCUCGGAUGACUAGUAUCAAUGAUGAUCUUUAUACCCAGGCCCAGGGAAUCCUAAAAGAAAGUACCAGUCUCCAAAAUCUACUUGAUUAGGCCAAUGUAGAAUAUGGCACAAUUCUACCUAAUCAAGAAUCCUUUUCCUCUUCUGAGCCUUCAUUUGCAACAUCCUGGAAUUUCAUAGGAAGCUGACUUGGGAAAUAUCUAAAGUCCCUUCCAACAUCUUUGGUUGGUGUUUCAAUAACUGAAAGACAGUUUGGCAUACCAAAAGGGUCAGGGACUCUGGCCUUUUUCAAUUUCCAAUUCUGCCCUGGACAAGCAAUUUUACUUCGCUGAACACCAGUUUUCUCUUCUUUAAAAAAGGCAGUGACAAUUUAUAGAUCACAGAAUUUGCAAGGAUUUGAGAAAAUAUAUUUGAUGUCCUUAAAACAGUGUCUGGUAUACAGACCUACACAGUAAAUGAUCAGUAAUCAGUCUGAGCAGGUCUUUGGACUUCGGCUAAUUAAUGACUGGUCUCAAGAAUAAGACCUCUAUGGAUAAAAUCUUAAAAGAGACUUUGAGUUCAGAAAGGAGCUAUGUUCUCAAGUUAAAGAGUCUUCUAAUUCAUCAGCAACCACUAAUCUACUAGAGGCUACCAAUUCACAGCUGGUGAAACCUGUUUUCCUAAAACAACUGGCCAUGUUAAAAAGUGAUACAGUUACAGAACAUCCAGCUCUUGAGGCCAGUUUUAGAGGAAAUCAUUCUUUCCAUAUGGAGGAUUACUAAGAGGCACCUUGGUAUGGACUCAAUUUUAAACAAUCCAGAAAAACUCCUGCCAGGGCCUGAGCAAUGUAAUUAAUUUUGGACCAGCCACCCUACCAUCCCGGGUUUCAGUUUGCCCAUUUAUAUGGUAGAGGUGAUGACAUAAGCAUCUAGGAGUUGCUUAAAUGACUGGCUGUGAUAACCCCAAGUCCUUGUACGGUAGAUGGCUGACAGCAAAAGCAGGAUUCCUUAGUAUUCCUGCAGCGCUUAUCACCUAUGUGUCUUUGGUUACAUCUCUUUCCCUGAGUCUCCAUUUUCAGACCUAGAAAAGGAGUCCCAGGAUACUCCCCAUCAUAGAACUACUGUAAGCAAUUGAUGAGGCAAUGGACAAAAGGGUUUUAUAAAGUAGAAGGAAGGCAUGACCCAAAGGCAGGACAUGCUCAUGGCUAUGCCCAGGCUCUUUUAGACAAGCACCCCAGCAUCUCCCUUUUAUUCUUAUCGUCUAAAAGUGAUUGUACUUCCAUGUACACAAGAGUUUGAAGGUUCCAUUUCCAAUGGUGCCUGUGGAAAUGUUACCAGUAUUUUUUGUCAUUUAGAGUGACCUGAGGGGAAAUUGGCCAGACUGUUGUCCUAGGUCCAGAGUCUUACUACAAGAUUAAAACUCCACCCAGAAACCUGAGUCAACCGAAGAAUGAGGCACUGGGCAUAAACCAUGCCAAAAAUAUCCACCCUCUGCUUUCCAGGAUCCCAAAUGACACUGGUCAUUGAAAACCCAUCCCUCCAAUCCAGAGGGAAAACUCAGCUCUGCUUAAGAUGAAUUUAAUGCCCAGCAUUAGUGUUAAAACCCCAAAAGGCCCUUCCAAAACUGUGACCUUCUAUUCAAAGGCUUGCUUUUGUUUGGUUGUAUCUUGUAAAACACUUUAGCAGCGAAUUUAGGACUUAUAAAACGGGCCAAUUGACAGCCUCAGGAACCAAAAGUCUGUUUAUUCAUUGAGUACAGACAGUGGGGGCAGGAGCAACAGACAACAUGGUGCCUAAGCCAGGGGUUUCUGGAGCAAAGAUAUCUUAGAACCCAGAGCAGUCAUGGGUCCUGAGGUAAGAAUGAGGAAAGAGUUCAUGGAAAAGGUGGAACUAGUUAUAACUGCAGUAGGCUCUGGGACAACAAUGAUUUAAAAAGGACACCACUUGACCUUGGAUAUGUUACUGAGCAUCUCUGUGUCAAUAAAAUGGAUUAUACACUUC
Neofelis nebulosa (Clouded leopard) is the source of this 2969-nucleotide long non-coding RNA. RefSeq lists it as uncharacterized. The record is from RefSeq and is a predicted model, not a curated record. NCBI's taxonomy places the organism in Eukaryota, Metazoa, Chordata, Mammalia, Carnivora, Felidae. The transcript has 3 exons.